RNAcentral lists this ribosomal RNA (581 nucleotides) under Fluviicola sp. StRD641. Its description in RNAcentral is "bacterial SSU rRNA". It matches the Rfam family "Bacterial small subunit ribosomal RNA", at positions 102 to 683 of the family's 1533-position model. The record is from RNAcentral. Lineage: Bacteria; Pseudomonadati; Bacteroidota; Flavobacteriia; Flavobacteriales; Crocinitomicaceae.
ACGGGUGCGUAACGCGUAUGCAACCUACCUUAUACUGGGGUAUAGCCCGGAGAAAUUCGGAUUAAUCCCCCAUAGUAUUAUUGAUUCGCAUGUUUUGAUAAUUAAAGGUUACGGUAUAAGAUGGGCAUGCGUCCCAUUAGCUAGAUGGUGAGGUAACGGCUCACCAUGGCGACCAUGGGUAGGGGGCCUGAGAGGGUGGUCCCCCACACUGGUACUGACACACGGACCACACUCAUACGGGAGGCAGCAGUGAGGAAUAUUGGUCAAUGGGCGCAAGCCUGAACCAGCCAUGCCGCGUGCAGGAAGACGGUCCUAUGGAUUGUAAACUGCUUUUAUUCGGGAAUAAACCUCCUUACGUGUAGGGAGCUGAAGGUACCGAAUGAAUAAGCACCGGCUAACUCCGUGCCAGCAGCCGCGGUAAUACGGAGGGUGCAAGCGUUAUCCGGAAUCAUUGGGUUUAAAGGGUCCGCAGGCGGUCAUAUAAGUCAGUGGUGAAAGCCUACAGCUCAACUGUAGAACUGCCAUUGAUACUGUACGACUUGAAUUCGGUCGAAGUGGGCGGAAUAUGACAUGUAGCGGUG